UCUCAUCCAGUUAAAAGAAGAAAACAAUAUAAUAGGAAAUACAGUGGUUUUGCCUAGACGCUUUUUCACAGUGGUCAUAAGUUAGAAAUGGCUCAGCAGAAAAUUAAUGCGGUCAUAUCUCUCCAAAGCCGACGUGGAUAGCAAAGAAACAUCGGCAAAAAAAACAACCAACACCUGAUGCUAAGGACGUUAGCCACCAUGACCGAACAGUUAAGCUAGCAAGCUAGUGCUAAUUGGCAACUUUGGUACAGAGAAACAUAACUACCUUGGACAAGGAAAAAAGAGACUCGCCAUGGUUUCAAAAGGUGGCAACUAUGGAUGCAAAGUUUGCCUAACCCUAGUUAUAGUAAAUUCUUCACAUUCAACACUCAAAGAUUGUGACUAUCAGAAUAAUCGCGCAUUUUUACAGUCACAUGUAACAAUAACGAUAAGGAGCGCAGAGGUUACAAAGAAGAUGCCGAAGAAGGUGUGGACAAAAUAACCUGACCUGAGUGAGUGACGUUUCAACUUAAAAUCCUAAAAUCAUCAGCUCAACAGUGACAUAUAGGCCUAUGCACUUAGCAGAAUAGAUGACAAGAGAGAGAAGAAGUAAAUCAGUGACCGGAGAUAAAGAAGACACAGCAAUACAGAUGCAUUAUAUCAGUAAUGCACAACAUUCACAGGACCUCAUGAUAAUAGGCUCGUCGGGACACAGAGAAAGGAGCGAGACGCUUGUCAGAGUGGAUACAUCCGUGCCUGACCCGAGGGAGAUGGCUCAGUGCACGACACAUCAGUUACAGGACACCGAGAGACCCUCUCCCCCCUCCUCGCAGGCUAAUGGUUGUCAAGUUAGUGAGGGCCUGUGCUCUUGUCUGGGCCGGGCCUGUUGUCAUGUGAAAUCCAUUAGAGGUCGCAAGCACACAGGAUGGGCGGUCGAUUGAUAAGGCAGGAGGAGAAGUGAGGCAGAAGCAGGGGAAGAAAUGAGAAGCUUUUUAUCUCCCAACUGUACUGUACUCUCCUUGAGGACUUUGUAAAGAAAACUGAAGUAGAGUGGAAAAUUGAUGGCGAUGUCUUACAUUAUUAUUGUACUUCCGAGCAAUGGCUUGAAAGAUUGUAUUCUGAAAUGGUAAGACAGUUAAAAAUAGUCUCCUAUGUAAUCCAAAACAAAAUUGAAGUUAUCUUGCUGUCAACAAAGAUAGAAGAAAUAAAGUUGUUUGAGUCCAAUAUAAUAUCCUCUAAAAUGGUCAUAUUACAUCCCAAAUCCACCAGUGAAAGUAUUUCAACUAACACUCACACAUUGCAAUAAUCGCCAAUGGCAACCUAAAUGCUAUUCUCAAACAAAGUUUUCCCUUAGUUUACCGAUAAUCUGUUCAUCAUUUAACUUGUUUAUUCUUUUUCUAUUCUUUUUUAAUUCAUAGCCUGUCUUCCAAAAUGUGAAAACUUCUUCCAAAUCUUAUUUCUCAAGACUUGACACUGCUACAAACUGUGGAAGCGUUGCCUUCAGUGACAGCACACUAAGUCAUACUGUGGGUUUCUUGAUUACAUUAAUUCACAGGCAAUUUAGUGGGAAGCCACCGGAUAGUUGAGAACCAAUCCAUAUGCUAUUUAUUUUCUGCCUAUUUUUUCAUUUAUUAUAUUUUAUGCGCAAGGGACCCUGUGAACACCCAUCUUUCUGUCGAAUCAGUCAAGGCAGCAGCAUCAUUUUCUCUUUUCUUUUCCUUUUUUACCUCCGAGCACAUUAAGUAGGUUUCUUUCUUUAAAGUGUCAUUAAUAAUCAAUCCUGCAUUCUAUUUUUCAUGCCUUCAUAUAUGAAUGAUAAUUAUUAUCUUUCACUGUCACACAAAUGUAAAAGGCGGUACAAUGCCUCAUUAAAAAAAAAAAAAA
This is a long non-coding RNA of Etheostoma spectabile (orangethroat darter), 1863 nucleotides long. RefSeq lists it as uncharacterized. Lineage: Eukaryota; Metazoa; Chordata; Actinopteri; Perciformes; Percidae. The transcript has 3 exons. The record is from RefSeq and is a predicted model, not a curated record.